AGAAUCAACGCUGGCGGCGUGCCUAACACAUGCAAGUCGAACGAGAAAGUGGAGCAAUCCAUGAGUAAAGUGGCGACCGGGUGAGUAACACGUGACUAACCUACCUUCAAGUGGGGGAUAACCUCGGGAAACCGGGGCUAAUACCGCAUAACAUCCCUGGAGCGGAAGAACUGGAGAUCAAUGGAGCAAUUCGCUUGAAGAGGGGGUCGCGGCUGAUUAGCUAGUUGGCGGGGUAAUGGCCCACCAAGGCUUUGAUCGGUAGCCGGCCUGAGAGGGCGCACGGCCACACUGGAACUGAAACACGGUCCAGACUCCUACGGGAGGCAGCAGUGGGGAAUUUUGCGCAAUGGGGGAAACCCUGACGCAGCAACGCCGCGUGGAGGAUGAAGUCCCUUGGGACGUAAACUCCUUUCGACCGGGACGAUUAUGACGGUACCGGUGGAAGAAGCCCCGGCUAACUUCGCGCCAGCGGCCGC
RNAcentral lists this ribosomal RNA (476 nucleotides) under uncultured bacterium. RNAcentral describes it as "SSU rRNA". It matches the Rfam family "Bacterial small subunit ribosomal RNA", at positions 26 to 518 of the family's 1533-position model. The record is from RNAcentral.